AAUCAACGCUGGCGGCGUGCCUCAGACAUGCAAGUCGAACGAUUAAAGCUCCCUUCGGGGAGUGCAUAGAGUGGCGCACGGGUGAGUAACACGUAAGUAAUCUACCCUCGGGUGGGGAAUAACGUCCGGAAACGGACGCUAAUACCGCAUAAUGCAGCGGCACCGCAAGGUGACAGUUGUUAAAGGAGCAAUCCGCCUGGGGAGGAGCUUGCGGCAGAUUAGCUUGNGGUAAGGUAACGGCUUACCAAGGCUACGAUCUGUAUCCGGUCUAAGAGGACGGUCGGACACACUGACACUGAAUAACGGGUCAGACUCCUACGGGAGGCAGCAGUCGGGAAUUUUGGGCAAUGGGGGAAACCCUGACCCAGCAACGCCGCGUGAAGGAUGAAGUAUUUCGGUAUGUAAACUUCGAAAGAAUAGGAAGAAUUAAUGAC
This 434-nucleotide ribosomal RNA is filed under the name uncultured bacterium. RNAcentral's name for it is "bacterial SSU rRNA". It matches the Rfam family "Bacterial small subunit ribosomal RNA", at positions 32 to 457 of the family's 1533-position model. The record is from RNAcentral.